Molecule: long non-coding RNA, 552 nt
Filed under: Hordeum vulgare
Lineage: Eukaryota; Viridiplantae; Streptophyta; Magnoliopsida; Poales; Poaceae
Description: long non-coding RNA (HVUL_LNC020924)
Source: RNAcentral
UCCACUACAGCUACUGAAAGAAACAACCAGGAAAAUGUUGCCAAGUCAAGGUUUACUCGCUACUACUAGUUACUUUAGAUUCUUUCACUCGUCUUUCUUUGCACCUGUGGUCUGCAAUUUGUAUCACUGUAUGACAUUAGCAGUACAUUUUCACACAGCAGAGGUGACCCGGAACCUUUCAAACUCAAUAGCACAGUGGCGCAGGGAGCUACUCGCACUAUGAAGCCAUAUGAAGUUGAAUCAAGCAUCGGUAAUUUUUUUGUGUGUGAAAUGAAACAUAUUUAUGAACAAUUGUGUAUUUGCCACCGUAAAGCGGUUGUGCUUCCAUGCUACUGUGAAGAAGGAUCCCAAUCACUCUGCUGAUCAAAAUUUCACUUUUAUGUACUCCUUCUGACCCAUAUUAAUUGUCGCUGAUUUAGUACAUAGCAUUUUGUAGCAUGCCUUCAACUUGUUUUCCCUGGAUUUACCAAUAGCCACAGCAAGUGUUUCCCACUUGUUUUAAGCCUACUCUUUUCAUAUCGCCAUGAUUCAUUUACCAUAUGGCUAAUGACA